This 252-nucleotide ribosomal RNA is filed under the name uncultured bacterium. RNAcentral's name for it is "partial 16S ribosomal RNA". It matches the Rfam family "Bacterial small subunit ribosomal RNA", at positions 524 to 776 of the family's 1533-position model. The record is from RNAcentral.
UACGGAGGAUGCGAGCGUUAUCCGGAUUUAUUGGGUUUAAAGGGUGCGUAGGCGGACGCUUAAGUCAGCGGUAAAAUUGCGGGGCUCAACCUCGUCGAGCCGUUGAAACUGGGUGCCUUGAGUGGGCGAGAAGUACGCAGAAUGCGUGGUGUAGCGGUGAAAUGCAUAGAUAUCACGCAGAACUCCGAUUGCGAAGGCAGCGUACCGGCGCCCAACUGACGCUGAAGCACGAAGGCGUGGGUAUCGAACAGG